RNAcentral lists this ribosomal RNA (497 nucleotides) under uncultured bacterium. RNAcentral describes it as "partial 16S ribosomal RNA". It matches the Rfam family "Bacterial small subunit ribosomal RNA", at positions 28 to 507 of the family's 1533-position model. The record is from RNAcentral.
GAUGAACGCUGGCGGCGUGCCCAAUACAUCCAAGUCGAGCGAACGGACGAGAAGCUUGCUUCUCUGAUGUUAGCGGCGGACGGGUGAGUAACACGUGGAUAACCUACCUAUAAGACUGGGAUAACUUCGGGAAACCGGAGCUAAUACCGGAUAAUAUUUUGAACCGCAUGGUUCAAAAGUGAAAGACGGUCUUGCUGUCACUUAUAGAUGGAUCCGCGCUGCAUUAGCUAGUUGGUAAGGUAACAGCUUACCAAGGCAACGAUGCAUAGCCGACCUGAGAGGGUGAUCGGCCACACUGGAACUGAGACACGGUCCAGACUCCUACGGGAGGCAGCAGUAGGGAAUCUUCCGCAAUGGGCGAAAGCCUGACGGAGCAACGCCGCGUGAGUGAUGAAGGUCUUCGGAUCGUAAAACUCUGUUAUUAGGGAAGAACAUAUGUGUAAGUAACUGUGCACAUCUUGACGGUACCUAAUCAGAAAGCCGCGGCUAGCUACGUG